AACGAACGCUGGCGGCAUGCCUAACACAUGCAAGUCGAACGAAGGCUUCGGCCUUAGUGGCGCACGGGUGCGUAACGCGUGGGAAUCUGCCCUCAGGUUCGGAAUAACAGCGAGAAAUUGCUGCUAAUACCGGAUGAUAUCGCGAGAUCAAAGAUUUAUCGCCUGAGGAUGAGCCCGCGUAGGAUUAGCUAGUUGGUGUGGUAAAGGCGAACCAAGGCGACGAUCCUUAGCUGGUCUGAGAGGAUGAUCAGCCACACUGGGACUGAGACACGGCCCAGACUCCUACGGGAGGCAGCAGUGGGGAAUAUUGGACAAUGGGCGAAAGCCUGAUCCAGCAAUGCCGCGUGAGUGAUGAAGGCCUUAGGGUUGUAAAGCUCUUUUACCCGGGAUGAUAAUGACAGUACCGGGAGAAUAAGCUCCGGCUAACUCCGUGCCAGCCGCCGCGGUAA
RNAcentral lists this ribosomal RNA (449 nucleotides) under uncultured bacterium. RNAcentral's name for it is "partial 16S ribosomal RNA". It matches the Rfam family "Bacterial small subunit ribosomal RNA", at positions 29 to 523 of the family's 1533-position model. The record is from RNAcentral.